This 253-nucleotide ribosomal RNA is filed under the name uncultured bacterium. Its description in RNAcentral is "partial 16S ribosomal RNA". It matches the Rfam family "Bacterial small subunit ribosomal RNA", at positions 524 to 776 of the family's 1533-position model. The record is from RNAcentral.
UACGGAGGGUGCAAGCAUUAAUCGGAUUUAUUGGGCGUAAAGGGCGCGUAGGCGGGAGAGAAAGUUAAAUGUGAAAUCCCGGAGCUCAACUCCGGAACGGCAUUUAAAACUCCUUUUCUAGAGGGUAGGCGGAGAAAACGGAAUUCCACGUGUAGCGGUGAAAUGCGUAGAUAUGUGGAAGAACACCUGUGGCGAAAGCGGUUUUCUAGCUUAUUCCUGACGCUGAGGCGCGAAAGCAAGGGGAUCAAACAGG